UGCCAGCCGCCGCGGUAAUACGGAGGGGGUUAGCGUUAUUCGGAAUUACUGGGCUUAAAGGGUGCGUAGGCGGCGCUAUAAGUCGGGUGUGAAAUCCCACGGCUCAACCGUGGAAUUGCGCCCGAUACUGUAGUGCUUGAGGGAGACAGGGGUAAGCGGAACUCACAGUGGAGCGGUGAAAUGCGUUGAUAUUGUGAGGAACACCGGUGGCGAAGGCGGCUUACUGGGUCUCUUCUGACGCUGAGGUACGAAAGCUAGGGUAGCGAACGGGAUUAGAUA
This 279-nucleotide ribosomal RNA is filed under the name uncultured bacterium. RNAcentral's name for it is "partial 16S ribosomal RNA". It matches the Rfam family "Bacterial small subunit ribosomal RNA", at positions 506 to 784 of the family's 1533-position model. The record is from RNAcentral.